Molecule: long non-coding RNA, 3195 nt
Organism: Papaver somniferum (opium poppy)
Lineage: Eukaryota; Viridiplantae; Streptophyta; Magnoliopsida; Ranunculales; Papaveraceae
Exons: 7
Source: RefSeq, a predicted model, not a curated record
ACGAUGCUUCUCUCUUGCUUUGAGUUUUUUGCGUUGUUUGAUGUGCAUGUAUCUUCGAAAUCGUGAUGAUUGACAUUGCAAAUGCUAUUGUAACAAGGAGUCACAUGGAAGAAAUUGAUAAUUUUCUUUCGUCUCUUUUGAAUUCUGCUGAUAAUUUUAUUUGACUUGCAUGUCCCCAUAGGGUGUCACGGUUGCUCUUGAUUGGUGCGGCAAUCGAUAUUGGUUCUUUUUUCGAGAUUCGAGAUGAUGAUAUAAUAAAUUCAAGCGAAGGUAUGUAAUUUUUUUAUUUUUAUUUUGGUGUUUAUCGUGAGUUUUUUUAUUUUGUGUAUUGCAUUUGUUGAUGGUGAAUCUGUUGAUUUUGUUGGUCGAAGGGCCCUAAUCGACUUAAAUUUUUUGAUACUCUUAACAAAGCUUGCGAGAAUUAUAAGUUAAUUAAGGUACAUAUCCACUCCACUACUUUUUAAUUCGUUGAUCACGGGUAACCAAUUUUAAGUUUCUUUGAAGUCUUAUUCAGAGUCUUUUAAAUUACUCUAGCUUGGAAGUCUAAGUUUGGUGAUUAUAUCCGGUGUGGUUCCAAAGACUGUUAUUCGGGUAAGUAAAUCUGCUAAUUUAGGAUAGAUAUAUUGAUAAAUAAAGGCCUGAAUUUCUUAUGUGUUUGCCUCGCUCAAACCCUACUUCAUCAUCCUCUUCCGAAAUUCGAGAUUCUGAAAUAGAAAUUCCGUGUUUCAAACCCUACUUCAUUAUAACGCCCUAUGUGUGUUUAGUUUCUCCUUCUACGUGUUUCUCUAAUUCUACCAAUCUGUUUCGAAUCUCUUUAUUAAGAAAUCGAAAGUCUGGAAUUCGAAUCGGUAUACUAUCUCUUUCAGACGUAGAUCUAAUUUGGGUUUCGCGUAUAUGGAUAGUUACAAAAGAUUUAUUAUGAUUUUUUGAAACUCGGUUUCAAAGGUUUGUGAAGAUUUGGAGUUUCUGCUGCCACGGAGAAGAAGCUGUACAGAGAGAACUUGAUUUUCCAGCUCGAGGUGAUUUUUUUUAUUGUGCUCGAGGAUUGCUUGGGCUGAGGAGAAGAUCGAAUUGAAAGAGAUGCACAUGUUAAGAAGAUACUGUUGCUGCCAUAGUUUUGAGAGUGUGCAGCUAGAAGAGGUGAGAAUGGUGAUGGUGGUGAUUUGCAUAAGAAAGAUGGUGUUGUAGCUGUUGUUGAAGUAAUUAGGCAGAGUUAGCCAAUUAGCAAAACAUUUUUGAAUGCAAGCCAAUGGAGUGAAUUUAACGAGAUGGCGAUGGAGUUAUUAUUUACGAUAUGCUAAGGUGAUACUCUUAUCCUUCGGUAUCACUCGAUGAUUUUAAUCGUUCUCAAUUAACUAUACAUUUAUAGUCUGGAUUGCAGUGGAGAUGCUGGAGGAGUGUUUUGAUUCAUUAUGAAUUGGAUACUCAUUAUGUCAAUAAGGUUGUCAUUUAUUCAGUUUCUUGUUGGCAAUGUUUUUUUUGUCUUGCAUCAUUAUCUUCAUAAUCUACCGGUUUAUAUAGUGUACAUGCUGUUGGGAAAUCGAUAUAUCCCCCAGACAAUAAAAACUCGGUUUAUAUACAUUUAAUUAACAUUCAAACAAUGAAAAUCAGUUUGAUUUGUCCUUUUUGGUGAAUUACUUGCAGGCUUACAUGGCUUGCAUUAUGCAAGAUCAUUGGUAAGUCUCCAUUUACAGGAUAUCCAAUGUACUGUUAUGUUUUGCAUCGAACUUCAGAGCAAAUUGAUCACAUCUUAAUUCUGAUAAUAUUGCUUUUAGAACUGAGCAAUGUUGAUCUAGCGACUCAUAUAGUCUCACUCUAUGAAUUUUUCUCUGGAUAUGAGUUUCUUUUGAGUGAUUAAACUGGAAAAAUUAUCAAAAUUGUAGCAUCCCUAUCACAUUAACAUUGUUAAGAAAAAAAUGUGAAUGCAGUGUGUACCUUCAGGGUAUUUUAAUGAUUUCAAUUGCAGAGAAACAACAAUAGAGGCAACUGCGAAGAAAGGUAACUUUAAUACGCCUAGUAACAUUUGAUCGAGCUUGGGUUCUUUAAAUCCUCCAGUCACAGAUAUACAGUUACCUCUUGAAAUUGGGCGAAAUCGGGCUGAGGUUUUAUUCGCAUUUCCAUGGUUUUAUUCGCAUUUCCAUUAUGUAUUUCAGUAGUUAAUAAUUUUAUUCGCACUUCCACCAUUCUCACUGGACCCAAGUACCUGAUUGGAGAUUAACUUUGGAGAUACCACAUCGGCAUUACUUUGAUGUGUAUCUUGAGCAGUAUUCUGAUAGCUCCUAUUUUUUAGUUCAGCAUUACAUUGUUCAUGCUCAUGAAAUGAAAAUGUGAAGAAAGGUGAGACCUACUUCUAUGAUCAGGAACUAUCUUAAUUGGAUGUUUUUGCAGUACUGCAACUAUCUGUAUUUUAAGGAUUCUUCUUUGUAGAAAAUGCUCACGGAUGGUAUGGCAGAAGCGCUGUGUUUGAAAUAAAAUGAAGUGGCUAGCUCCAAAUACAUGUUAAGAUCCUUCAAAGACAAAAAAAAAAAUGCAAGGCUUGAGAGUGGUAAUCAUUUCAAGGAAAAAUCUUUUGGACAAGCUGGACACAUGUGAACUGAAUGCUCAUCUCAUAGAACCAUGUUGUGGUUGUGCCUCACAACCAUGGUUGAUGGAAGCUAGAUAUCACAACCGAAUGAGGUGAUCUUGACUGGACAAUUGGCGUUUAUGAACGUGCUAACCAACAAUUACUGGCGGUCAUCCCCGACGAGUGUGAUUCGACAGUCCAGCUAACCCUCAACUACGAAUAUCCAUUGACUGUUGAUGUAAAUCAGAGGUAAUAAAGUAGCAUAUGGAGGAAACUGCCAACGUGUUGCUGAAGAAAAAUAAGUCAAGAAACGAACUGCCUUGGUUUUUAACACGGAUGGGAAGGAAUAUAGAUUACUUAUGUAAAUGUUCAUAGACUUUGUUGCAUGAAAAAAGUAUGAACUAGAUGGUUGUCCAACUUGUGCACACUAUGUCAAGUAUCUACAUAUAUGGUUUUAAAAUCUAGGCAGUACGAUUCUAAUUCAAUUUUGUUAUUCAUUUUUAUUUUCUUGUCAUAUGUUCGCAUUACACAAAUGCAAGAUAAAAUUUCACAUCGCUGCUUCCAUAUGUUCGCAUUAUUUUUAUGUGACAACUUAAUCUUUGUAAACAAUUUUAAGAAUCAUUUGAGUUCGU